RNAcentral lists this ribosomal RNA (390 nucleotides) under uncultured bacterium. Its description in RNAcentral is "bacterial SSU rRNA". It matches the Rfam family "Bacterial small subunit ribosomal RNA", at positions 28 to 417 of the family's 1533-position model. The record is from RNAcentral.
GACGAACGCUGGCGGCGUGCUUAACACAUGCAAGUCGAGCGGUAAGGCCCUUUCGGGGGUACGACGAGCGGCGAACGGGUGAGUAACACGUGGGUGACCUGCCCUCAGCUCUGGGAUAAGCCCGGGAAACCUAGGGUCUAAUACCGGAUAUGACUUCAUGACGCAUGUUGUGGAGUGGAAAGCCUUGUGCGGCUGAGGAUGGGCCCGCGGCCUAUCAGCUUGUUGGUGGGGUGAGGCCUACCAAGGCGACGACGGGUAGCCGGCCUGAGAGGGCGACCGGCCACACUGGGACUGAGACACGGCCCAGACUCCUACGGGAGGCAGCAGUGGGGAAUCUUGCGCAAUGGGCGAAAGCCUGACGCAGCGACGCCGCGUGAGGGAUGACGGCCU